CACAUCCUCUCUUCUCAAGCUCGUCUUUGUUCUAGCUCAAAUGCCAUUUCCAUGGCAGUCAACAUGGUAUUAGAGCUUUGAGACUCGAUCUACGCUUAAUCACUAACUCAAUUUCACUCUCCAUUUCUAGUAUUGCUUUAAUUCUGCAUAAGACCUGUAGAAUGGCCUUCUAGUGACGCGUGGUGAAAUUAGGGUUUGCAAGUGUUGAAUCUAGGUCUGAAACUCUGUUCAGCAAUGGCGAUUGGAGAUGAUGUGAAUGUCACAACCGCUGAUUCAAGUGAUGGCACAACUGCUACUGUCAAUAUUCCCACAAUUGAUCACAAUCAUCCUCUCUUUCUUCAACCAACGGAUACUCCAAGUAGUACUCUGAUUUCUCUUCAAUUAACCGGAUCAGAUAACUAUGCUUUGUGGAGUAGAUCUAUGAGGAUUGGUUUGCUAGGCAAGAGUAAACUAGGUUUUGUGGAUGGACGAUUUCCUAAAUCUAAAUUUGUACCUGAACUGUAGUCAAUGGUGUAGUUCUCGCAUGGAUUAUGAAUGUAGUUAGACCAGGCCUAUUAAGUAGUGUAAUGUAUGCAUUUGAUGCUCACAAAGUGUGGGAGGAUCUAAAAGAAAGAUUUGAUAAAGUGAAUGGUUCGAGAGUUCUCUAUCUCCAUAGAGAAAUUCAUACAUUGACUCAAGGAACCAUGACCAUAUCUGACUAUUUUUUGAAACUGAGGGAUCUUUGGGACAAGUUUGAUGCUCUCAUGCCCAACCCUGUUUGUCCAUGUCCAAAAUCGAAAAAGUUUGCUCAGCACUUUGAACAACACAGGCUUCUGCAAUUUCUUAUGAGCCUAAAUGAGUCAUACUCACAAUUCAGAAGUCAAAUUAUGAUGAUGUCCCCAAUUCCUAGUAUCAACAAGGCCUACCCUCUACUAGUGGAUCAGGAAAGUUAAAGGAGUUUGGCAAAUUUCUCACAAACAAUUCAAGUGUCUGAGACAAUGGCGAGUACUGAUCUUUACAGUAAUAGAACCUCUGUUAACUCAGGAGGUAAUUUCAAACAAAGGAGAAAUCAAAUACAGUGUGAAUACUGCUACUACAAAGGACAUACUAAGGAAAAUGGUUAUAAGCUAAUUGGCUAUCUAGCUGAUUUUAAACAUAAGAAGAAAGGAGGAACCCCUGGUCUAUAUGCUAAUCAUGCUAGUGCUGAUGUCCAUCAGCUGGGAGAAGGGCCAUAGAUGCAGGUUGGAGUUCAACAUGCAGGUCAACAUGGUAGAGGAGAUCAUUAUGUCUCAACCUGUUAUUAUGCCUCAAUACCCUAUGAUAUCUAUGAUGCCUCAAUCUGCCACGUAUUCUCAGUCUCCACCACCUGCACCCUAUCUUACACAACAACAAUAUCAACAGAUUGUCCAGCUACUCAACAAAAGUGCUGAAGAGGGAUCAUCUUCCAAGGCUGUUGCUGCAGGACGGAUAAUGGGCAUGAAUUUUUUAGUUCUGACUUCAAAGCAUUGGUCUCCUCUCUUGGAAUUAUUCACCAGAGUUCUUGUGUUUAUGCUCCUCAGCAGAAUGGAGUGGUAGAAAGAAAAUACAGAACAAUCCUUGAAAUAGCCAGAUCACUCAGGUUUCAAGAAGCUGUUCCUCUAAAGUUCUGGGGUGAAUGUGUUAGCACUACAGUUUACCUUAUUAACAUGCUGCCUUCCAGAGUAUUACAUAACAAAUCACCUUUUGAAAUGCUUCAGUUGCAUCCUCCUUCUCUCAUACACCUUAGAGUUUUUGAGUGUCUAUGUUAUGCAUCCAAUCCAAAGAAGAAUGAUAAGUUUGCACCAAUAGCUCUUCCUGUAAUCUUGCUAGGUUAUUCUUCCACACAAAAGGGAUACAAGAUCUACAGUCUGCACACCAAGUCCUUAUUUGAAAGCAGACAUGUAGUACUUUAGGAACAUUUCUUUCCCUUCAAACACAUGAAGGAUGCUAGUACCCUUAUAUUUCAUAUUCUUGACUUGCUACCAGCUGCAGAGGCCUACUCACAGGGUGCCUCCUCACAUCACUCUGCUGCCUGUCAAGAACUACCCCAUGCUACUUUGUAUGCACCUAAUAAAGAACAUUAGCAUAGUGCCACUUCCUCACUUACUGAGUUUAUUGCUUCAACUUCAGAGUCUCAUGAUCAACCUUCUGAGACUCCACCUCAUCAGGAGUUAAGAAGGUCCACUAGAGAAGGGAUGCAACCUACUUGGAUGCAGGAUUAUGUGAUUCCUGUCAAGAACAAAUCUUGUCAAUAUCCUAUGGCUUCAUAUGUGUCCUAUACUGCUAUUAAACUGUCUUAGAAGCAGGCUCUGUCAGCAUACACAGCUAUCAAAUAGCCUCAGACUUUCAGAGAGGCUACUUUGGAUCCAAAAUGGGUAGAAGCAAUGCAGCUUGAAAUUGCUGCUCUAGAAGCUAAUCACACAUGGAGUUGAUCUUCCUACUGACAAGAUCCAUAUUGGUUGUAAAUAGAUAUUCAAGAUCAAGUAUCAGGCCUCAGGGGAGAUAGAGAGAUAUAAAGCUAGAUUGGUAGCUAAAGGCUACAGUCAAAAGGAGGGACUGGAUUAUACAGAGACCUUCUAACCUGUGGAAAAGAUGGUGACAAUCAGAUCAAUAGUGGCCCUGGCAGCAUCCAAACGCUGGUUCAUCUAUCAAAUGAAUGUCUGAUGUUAGGCCAAAAUACUACUCCCUCUGAUCCAGUUUAUGUGAACCUAUUUUCUUUUUGGCCCAUUCCAAAAAGAAUGACCACUUUCUAAAUUUAGAAACAAUUUAGCUUAAAUUUACGAUUCUAUCCUUAAUAAGAAGAUUUUAUAACGACAUAAAUACUCUGGGCCCCUUUUUGACUUGUUUAAGAUCACAAAUUCAAAAAGUCUUUAUUUUAUGUUAAACUCCG
This is a non-coding RNA of Nicotiana tabacum (common tobacco), 2887 nucleotides long. The record is from RefSeq and is a predicted model, not a curated record. Lineage: Eukaryota; Viridiplantae; Streptophyta; Magnoliopsida; Solanales; Solanaceae.